RNAcentral lists this ribosomal RNA (651 nucleotides) under Russula turci. RNAcentral describes it as "eukaryotic LSU rRNA". It matches the Rfam family "Eukaryotic large subunit ribosomal RNA", at positions 1 to 610 of the family's 3401-position model. The record is from RNAcentral. Lineage: Eukaryota; Fungi; Basidiomycota; Agaricomycetes; Russulales; Russulaceae.
UGACCUCAAAUCGGGUGAGACUACCCGCUGAACUUAAGCAUAUCAAUAAGCGGAGGAAAAGAAACUAACAAGGAUUCCCCUAGUAACUGCGAGUGAAGCGGGAAAAGCUCAAAUUUAAAAUCUGGUGGCCUUUGGUCAUCCGAGUUGUAAUUUAGAGAAGCGUCUUCCGCGCUGGACCGUGCACAAGUCUCCUGGAACGGAGCGUCAUAGAGGGUGAGAAUCCCGUCUUUGGCACGGACAUGCCAGGGCUUUUGUGAUGCGCUCUCGAAGAGUCGAGUUGUUUGGGAAUGCAGCUCAAAAUGGGUGGUGAACUCCAUCUAAAGCUAAAUAUUGGCGAGAGACCGAUAGCGAACAAGUACCGUGAGGGAAAGAUGAAAAGCACUUUGGAAAGAGAGUGAAACAGUACGUGAAAUUGUUGAAAGGGAAACGCUUGAAGUCAGUCGCGUCGACCGAGACUCAGCCUUGCCUUGGCUUGGUGUACUUCUCGGCUGACGGGUCAGCAUCAAUUUUGCCCCUUGGAUAAUGGCGAGGGAAAUGUGACACCUUUACGGUGUGUUAUAGUCUCUUGUCGCAUGCAAGGGUUGGGAUUGAGGAACUCAGCACGCGCCUUUGGGUGUCGGGGUAUUCGCCCACGAUACGUGCUAGGAGUGC